This 286-nucleotide long non-coding RNA is filed under the name Medicago truncatula (barrel medic). Its description in RNAcentral is "long non-coding RNA (MTRU_LNC002381)". Lineage: Eukaryota; Viridiplantae; Streptophyta; Magnoliopsida; Fabales; Fabaceae. The record is from RNAcentral.
CCCCACAACCAAUAAUAUAAAAUUAGGGAAAACAAAAACAAACCCAUAAUUACAAACCCUCCAAAAUAAAUACCCAAAUAAAAAAAUUCAAAAUUUCCUUGCUUUUCACCGUUUUUUUUUCUUCAAAUACAGUGAAGCUUGUUGUGGUGGUUUUCCAGAUACGAAUUUAUUUUGUUGUUGUGAUGUUCCAGAUCUCAACUUUUAGGAAGAAAAGAUUGGUGAAGAUGAAUGAUUUGUUUGAAGAACACAUAAAUGAAUGAAUGAAGAUGAAUAGCUGGGUUUCACA